CUGGGGUUGUGCUCAGCGGUAGAGCACUCGCCUAGCAUGUGCGAGGCCCUGGGUUCGAUCCUCAAUACCACA
Molecule: transfer RNA, 72 nt
Filed under: Marmota monax (woodchuck)
Lineage: Eukaryota; Metazoa; Chordata; Mammalia; Rodentia; Sciuridae
Description: tRNA.Ala
Source: RNAcentral